RNAcentral lists this ribosomal RNA (251 nucleotides) under uncultured prokaryote. Its description in RNAcentral is "partial 16S rRNA". It matches the Rfam family "Bacterial small subunit ribosomal RNA", at positions 525 to 775 of the family's 1533-position model. The record is from RNAcentral.
ACGGGGGGUGCUAGCGUUGUUCGGAAUCAUUGGGCGUAAAGAGCGCGUAGGCGGCUGGAUAAGUCAGAUGUGAAAGCCCUGGGCUUAACCUAGGAAGUGCAUGUGAAACUGUUCAGCUUGAGUAAGGGAGGGGAAGGUGGAAUUCCUGGUGUAGAGGUGAAAUGCGUAGAUAUCAGGAGGAACACCAGUGGCGAAGGCGACUUACUGGCCCUAUACUGACACUGAGACGCGAGAGCGUGGGUAGCAAACGG